This 530-nucleotide ribosomal RNA is filed under the name uncultured bacterium. RNAcentral's name for it is "partial 16S ribosomal RNA". It matches the Rfam family "Bacterial small subunit ribosomal RNA", at positions 355 to 874 of the family's 1533-position model. The record is from RNAcentral.
UGGGGAAUUUUGGACAAUGGGCGAAAGCCUGAUCCAGCAAUGCCGCGUGUGUGAAGAAGGCCUUCGGGUUGUAAAGCACUUUUGUCCGGAAAGAAAUCCUUGGCUCUAAUACAGUCGGGGGAUGACGGUACCGGAAGAAUAAGCACCGGCUAACUACGUGCCAGCAGCCGCGGUAAUACGUAGGGUGCAAGCGUUAAUCGGAAUUACUGGGCGUAAAGCGUGCGCAGGCGGUUUGCUAAGACCGAUGUGAAAUCCCCGGGCUCAACCUGGGAACUGCAUUGGUGACUGGCAGGCUAGAGUAUGGCAGAGGGGGGUAGAAUUCCACGUGUAGCAGUGAAAUGCGUAGAGAUGUGGAGGAAUACCGAUGGCGAAGGCAGCCCCCUGGGGCCAAAUACUGACGCUCAUGCACGAAAGCGUGGGGGAGCAAAACAGGAUUAGAUACCCUGGUAGUCCACGCCCUAAACGAUGUCAACUAGUUGUUGGGGAUUCAUUUCCUUAGUAACGUAGCUAACGCGUGAAGUUGACCGCCU